This 300-nucleotide ribosomal RNA is filed under the name uncultured Acinetobacter sp. RNAcentral's name for it is "bacterial SSU rRNA". It matches the Rfam family "Bacterial small subunit ribosomal RNA", at positions 115 to 420 of the family's 1533-position model. The record is from RNAcentral. Lineage: Bacteria; Pseudomonadati; Pseudomonadota; Gammaproteobacteria; Moraxellales; Moraxellaceae.
GCGUGGGAAUCUACCCAGUAGUGGGGGACAACAGUUGGAAACGACUGCUAAUACCGCAUACGCCCUACGGGGAAAGCAGGGAUCUUCGGACCUUGCGCUAAUAGAUGAGCCUAAGUCAGAUUAGCUAGUUGGUGGGGUAAAGGCCUACCAAGGCGACGAUCUGUAGCGGGUCUGAGAGGAUGAUCCGCCACACUGGGACUGAGACACGGCCCAGACUCCUACGGGAGGCAGCAGUGGGGAAUAUUGGACAAUGGGCGAAAGCCUGAUCCAGCCAUGCCGCGUGUGUGAAGAAGGCCUUUU